This 253-nucleotide ribosomal RNA is filed under the name uncultured bacterium. Its description in RNAcentral is "partial 16S ribosomal RNA". It matches the Rfam family "Bacterial small subunit ribosomal RNA", at positions 524 to 776 of the family's 1533-position model. The record is from RNAcentral.
UACGUAGGGAGCAAGCGUUGUCCGGAAUCAUUGGGCGUAAAGCGCGCGUAGGCGGCCCUGUAAGUCCGUUGUGAAAGUCAAAGGCUCAACCUUUGAAAGCCGAUGGAUACUGCAGGGCUAGAGUCCGGAAGAGGCGAGUGGAAUUCCUGGUGUAGCGGUGGAAUGCGCAGAUAUCAGGAGGAACACCGGUGGCGAAGGCGGGAUCCUGGGCCAGUACUGACGCUGAGGAGCGAAAGCGUGGGGAGCAAACAGG